UAUUUAAUAAAUAUAGAAAAAUUCAAUUUAACUUAUUAUUCCCCACAUAUCAAAAUCAUUUACUAAAUCGAAUGGUUGAAAUCUUCCAUAAGUAAAUCCUCUAUGCUUAUAACUAGAAGAUGGAAAUUUAUUGGUUUCUAUAUUUUGUGAAAUUAUCAAUGGUUCAAUGAUUUAUCCAUAGUACUAUCUGCAUAAUAUUUCAUUAUAUUCUAACAAGUAUUUGUGACAUAUAAUAUUUCUUAUAUCCUUAGGAAUAUUGUUUUCUUCUAAUCCUUUAUGUAUAUAGCACCAAGUUUGUACAUAAUUAAAUCUUUGUAUCCUAUCAGCAUGUUGCUAGAAGGAUAUAUUUACUGAUGAUCCUUUAUUAUUCCAAUUGUAUUCAUCUCUUUGCUUAAUAGUUAAAAAUCUACUAUAAUCAAUCACAAGUUCGUCUGUAUAAUCCUCAACAGAAUUAAUAUUCCAUUGUUUCCAUGAAAAAUUAUUUAUGUACACCUCUCUCCUAAUCCUAAAUAUGAGAAUAGGAUCGAUGUUUAAAUUUUAUUCUUUAUUAUUAUGAGUUCUCCAAUUUUAAAUUCAUGAGCUUGGGAUAAAUACAAUUGUUCCAAUUGUUUAUCGUCUAAUCUAUUUUGUUCUAAAUAAUACUAUUGUCUAUAUUUAGUUAAGUUAUCCUUAAUUGUAUUACUAUCUAUCAUUAGAUUAUAUUCUCCAUUAUUUAUAAAAUAAACAAUUGUUUCUUCCAUUUUUAUAUUUUCCACCCAAAACUUGGCUCUUAUAUCAUUUUCGCGGACAUUUUUCAACCCAAGAUCCAAAUAAGGAUGUAAAUGAUUAAUUUUAAAAUUGUUUGAAAGUUUUGUAAUUUUAUUUCAUUAAAACACAAUUUUGAGGUAAGCGUUGUGCAAUAUUUUGUAAGAAUGCCUUUUUUUAUAAAAAAAAAAAAUAGGUUAUGACUUAUAAGAUACCUUGAGUUUGUAAGUCAUAUGUCUAUCAAGACCUGGCCAAAAUUCUGCACUCUUCAGAUUAAGUUUGUCUAAUAUGACUUAUUGUCCACUAAAAAUAAUACCUUUUUUUUUUCCCAUGAGGUGUGAAUCAAUCAACUUAGGGAUGGAAAAAUCUUCCACGUGUUUGGAGCUCCAUGGAACUCCACACCAAAUGGGGUGAAUUUUAAAUAAUUUUUUAGCAAUGGGGGAGAAACAAUCCCCAAAUUCUUAAUAAUUGGGGUAUAGUUUUGUACUCUCCACCUCACCCCCACCCCAAUCCCUAUUACAGAAAAACUGCCAAUGCCUUGCGUUUUCUUCAAAAAAUAGAGCCGAAUGAAAGUACAGUCCUCAUAUGCCGGAUGAAGCCAAACCUGAACCAACUUAACGAGGUAGUUUUCCCUGGCCCUGGGGUAGUUUGUUCACUAUUCGGAGUAAAUUCUUCGAAUCUGAUUUUCAGAAGAUACCUCACUUAAUCGCUGAAAAUAGAAAACUCUUUGAGAUCACUCCAAAUGAGUUCCCAACAUCCAACCUGGAGAUCAGGAUUGCACGAGCUUUCUGUUACCUCCACUGGCUGACGGAAUAGUACCGACAUAUUGCAUGAGCUAGCGAAGCCGUGGAACGCAAAAGGAAAGGAACGUAAAAACGCGCUUUUUUUGGAAAUGGUAGCCGACGCACUGGAUUUCUAUAUGAAUUUUUUUAAUUUUUCUUUAAUAAUUUUUAUUUUAUCAAUUACAAUGUUGGUUAAUAAAUUUUCUUUUUUCUUUUUACCUACUAGAAAUAGAGUUUAACUAAAAGAAAACUAUAUAUUAAAAUUCUUAUUCAACCGUAAAACAUAGUUACGUUUUCAUUUCUUUCUUAAGAUGCUGCUUUCUUCCAACAUUUUUCAAUUUUAAUAUCAUUUUAAGAUAUUUUUUCAAUCUUUCAGAGAUUUUUAUAAAUAAUUUAGAUACUUUAUAAUAUGGUAAUAAUUUUAUUUAAAUCUUUAAUUUUUAAUUUACUGAAAUUAUUUGUCCGUGUCUACCAUAAAAUAAGUAAAUGGGGAAUGAGGCAAGGAUCGGGAAAUCAUCCCCCACAUGGGAUUCCUCGUCCCCACUCUACUAAAUUUAUUGAGGGAUGAAGUGGGGAAUGGAGGCGAAAUUUUUAAUGAAGUGUGGAAUGGUAUAGGCCUCAUCAUCCCCACCCCCACCCAACUCGCCACUGCCAUCCCUAAAUCAACUUUUUUGGCCUUCUGGCUAAGAUCAAGGGCAACAUUUAAUUGGUUAGAGAUUUAAUGCAUUAAAUCUUUAUUCUAAAUAAUUAGUAUAUGAAACAAUUUAAUUUAUAAAUUCUUUAAUCAAAUCCAUCAGACUUAUUGACUAAUAGUUACAUCACUUUGUCAUGAUGAGGAGAUAGUCUUUAGUAUUUUAGAACAUUGUUCUAUAAUAAUUCAUUGCUUAUCAUGUAUAUAGGGAGAUUACCAAUUUCCCACCUACUGUAAUUAAUAUAUACCAUUUACCCCCUACCGUUUUAAUAAUAAACAA
RNAcentral lists this long non-coding RNA (2497 nucleotides) under Citrus x clementina. RNAcentral's name for it is "Citrus clementina (C. clementina) long non-coding RNA (CCLE_LNC005397)". The record is from RNAcentral. Lineage: Eukaryota; Viridiplantae; Streptophyta; Magnoliopsida; Sapindales; Rutaceae.